GAUGAACGCUGGCGGCGUGCCUAAUACAUGCAAGUCGAGCGAACAGAUGAGGAGCUUGCUCCUCUGACGUUAGCGGCGGACGGGUGAGUAACACGUGGAUAACCUACCUAUAAGACUGGGAUAACUUCGGGAAACCGGAGCUAAUACCGGAUAAUAUAUUGAACCGCAUGGUUCAAUAGUGAAAGACGGUUUUGCUGUCACUUAUAGAUGGAUCCGCGCCGCAUUAGCUAGUUGGUAAGGUAACGGCUUACCAAGGCAACGAUGCGUAGCCGACCUGAGAGGGUGAUCGGCCACACUGGAACUGAGACACGGUCCAGACUCCUACGGGAGGCAGCAGUAGGGAAUCUUCCACAAUGGGCGAAAGCCUGACGGAGCAACGCCGCGUGAGUGAUGAAGGUCUUCGGAUCGUAAAACUCUGUUAUUGGGGAAGAACAAAUGUGUAAGUAACUAUGCACGUCUUGACGGUACCUAAUCAGAAAGCCACGGCUAACUACGUG
Molecule: ribosomal RNA, 497 nt
Filed under: uncultured bacterium
Lineage: Bacteria
Description: partial 16S ribosomal RNA
Rfam family: Bacterial small subunit ribosomal RNA
Source: RNAcentral